GGGCGUGGUUCUGGCGGGAGGGGCGGAGGGCGCCUGACCGCAAUCUGGGUUUGGAUGCUAGAAUUUGCAGUCCCCGGGUGCGUGGCACCCCUGGGGGGCGCUCGCUGUGUGGCUCUGGGCUGGUUUGCACACCUCUCUGAGUCUCAACGGCCACUAGCAAAAUGGUAGCGCUUGGUUCAGGGCUGUAAGCCAGUGCUAGGUCUCCGGCUUCCUCACUAGGCUGCGGGAUAACUUUGGUAAACUGGCGAUAAUAAUAGUACAACCUCCUGGGUUGUUAGGAAGAUUAAGCGAGUUAAUAUUUGGAGGGUGUUUACAACCACGUCUGUUAUGUGUAAAGAAAGUGGCAUUAAGUUCAUUAGAGAGACCACGGGAGGAGGUCUGGCUCCGAGGUUGAGUUCUCUUUCUCCAUGCUCCGAGUACCUAUGCCCAAGCCCAGUUUCCUCUUUUGCUCCUAGACACCAUGUCCGCCACUUCUCUGAGCUGUAAAGCCGCCACCUCCCUCUAUUUCUGACUGUAUGGUGAUACCUAAGUGUGAAGACCAGAGAGGGUGGGUGUCUAAAUGGUUAAGGACACAGAACACCUUGGCAUUGAACCAGCUCACCUAUAAACCGCCUCUAGCUGGUUCUGGGCAAGCUCCCAGCCAAUGAACAGCGGUUUUCUUCUGGAUAAAAUGAAAUUUGUAUCAAACUGGGCUCUGAGAAUCACAGGUGUGCUCCUGAAGUGGUAAGUAUUACAGUUGAUAGCCUCUGUGGUCCCUCGGGUCUGUUUCCCAUCUAGCUAGGUUCAGCUAAAGGAGGGAUCUGGGAGAAGUUAAUUUCUGUUGGAGACAGGAAGCUGAGCUUUGUCCCAGAUGCUGGCCUAGGGGGUACCCUUGUUGGGCAUGGAUCCCUGAAAAGUAAAGCAUGUGGAACUGGUGAGUCUGGGAUCCCCUUCCUCCUGUCCCCUGAUCACCACCUUGUCCCCUUCCCCUGCUUACUGCAAGAUCUAUCCCCUCUGCUCUUGCUUCCUCCAACCAUGGACCUAGUUCUUUCCCUCAAUACAUAUGAUGUCGAGGCUGGAACAAGGCCCAAGCCUGGUCACCCAGGCCCUUCCUUAGGGUACCAGUUCAUAAAUUCAACCACCCCCAUUAUAGAAGUACAUCCUAUAUCUCAGUCAACAAGACACCAAUUAGCCAUCUUUUUUCCUCCUCUAUUAUGGUCCUGUGCUAGUCAAUGUCCCAGGGACAGAGGCAUUAGCCUAUUACUAGCUUCAGGGAAUCCUCAAGAUGGGGGGACAGGGAGAGGGGCAGUGUAUACCAUCACCAAGGAUGAAUACAGGAUAAGUCUCCAGAGAUAACUGGGGUGUGUUUGUGUGUGUGUGUAGUAGUAGUAGUAGUAGUAGUAGUAGUAGUAGUAGUAGUAGCAGCAGCUCUUUGGGAAAGAGGAAGUGAUGCUAAGGAGGGUUUGGAAAGUAGUUCAAUAGGCAGCUAGAGAUGUAAGCCAUUUUUGAUAGAAGAGCAGUUAGUUACAAAGGCAGCCUUUAGACAGCACCCCGAACCACAAGCUUCAAACAUUGGAGUCCCAGCUCUGUAGCCACUUGCCGAAUGCACACUGCUCACAUCUCUUCUCAGCUUCAAAACCCACAUCCAUCUCUAAAAUGGGUCUAAUAGUCUCCUCCUGGUUUGAAUAAAUGUUUCUCAGAGUAACUGCACUAAUACUUCUGGUUUGCUUUAUUGAGGCAGGCACCCCAGCUGUCCUGGAACUCACUAUGUAGACCAGGAUGACUUCGGAUCCACUUGCCUAUCAAAUGCUGGAAUUAAAGGCUUGUGCUACCAGACCCUGCUCAAACUGCACUAAUUGUUGGCGUCAGCAUUUCAGCCCAGUGCCAUGGUCCCAUGGCACCAACACAGAAAAAGCAGAGUAGCCAGGAAAACAGCGUUACUUUUCCCCAUUUCCCUAUACCUGCCCAGACACAGAUCCCAUUGUCUGCUUGGAAUUCCACUUCUCUGUCCUCUCUUUGUGUAAAUGUUUUAUAGCCCCUGGAGGCAACUGUUUGGAGGCAAAUUUACUAGGAGCUAUGGACACUGGAUCAGAGGUUAGAUUCUUAGGUGGACUAUUAUCUUGGAGACCGAGUCCUUGGAAACAGAAUUUAACCCUGUAGAGAGCACCAGAGAAAGUCCAGGAGAUACAAAGCCCUUAGCUAGGAUCGUGUGCCACAGAGAGAGGGAUGUGAAUAGAAGCCCGGAGGAAUGGCUUCUUGAAGUGUUACUGGCUCCUAGAAACUGGUGUGUGUGUGUGUGUGUGUGUGUGUGCGUGCGCGCGCGCGCGCGGAGUAGGAGCUGAAGAGAUAGUUACAAAGACCCUGGAUGCCAUCCAUUGAGGUAGAGGCCAGAACUUUCAUUACUGGAUGGGCAGUGGGGAGCCAUAAAGGGUUCCAAAGAUCCCGGUGACAACUCAGCAUCCCCAAAACCGCCCCUACCUGAGGCUUCUAAAGAGAAGGAAUUGAGGGGUCCCACAGCGACCACCUAGACCUGGUGAGACUUGCUAGUCUGUGCCUGCACUGGCAGCUUUGUUCCCUGGAGGCUGACUUCAGCCCUUAAAGGAACCAGUCUUUCCUGGGUUGUGUCCAAGACGCUCCAGCCCCUACCAGUCUGAAAGAAAAAGAGCUCCCAGGACUUGGGGGGAGGGGCCAGGUGCACAUGAUGAUUCGGGCAAGUGCCGGCCUGAUGCGUGUCAGCCAGCACGCCUGUGGACCCAAGGCCCUAGAAAUGGGCGGUGCUUUCGCGGGCGGGUCCUAGCGGCAACGGAAUAAGAGCGCCACCACCACCUAUUCAUUGAUAUGAGGGAUGCUGAAAGGAAGUAUCCCUCCUCCACUGUAUCCUGAGCGCCACAACUGGCUGUCUAACUGCCUCCAAGGACAACGUUCUGGGUAUCCCACAGGUGCUCACAAUCACCGUGCUUAAAUCUCGGCAUUGCAGCCCUAGUCCUCCAAAUAUCCCAAAGAUGGCACUUCCAAACUGUCUCGGACUCCUCACCCUCAGUACCCAAUAUCCAGCCAACCCGAGGCUUCUGCCCUUCCAAAGGACUGUGGGCCUCCCUCACCUCCCUUCUCUUCACUCCCACUCUCCAUCACAUAGCGCCAUUUCUCAGUUUUCUUUCCACCUUCCAUGACCGUUGUCGCUGUAUUAAGCAUUUUCCCAUGGUAUAUGACAGCACGGCUAAACCUCUCAGGCAUCAAUCACAUGAAGGGUCAUAUGCAAAAGUGUGUUUGUGCAGGCACAUAUCAUGGAAAACCUUCUGAGCUCAGAAGUCUGGAGGACAGUUCUGUCUGGAAGGGAGGGGCUCCACUGUGAGGGGGCCUGCUGGAUAAUCAGGGUGAGGCCGCUGGAGAACCAAUAAGUGGUUCUCCUGUUUCUCUCUUUGCCCCAAGCUGAUAUGACUCAGCAACUCACGAUAACUAAUCCCAUCUUUAUUGAAAAAUUUGAUGCUUUGUCAUUUUUUCUUCCUUUUUUAUUAUUUUUAAUUUCUCAAAAAUAUGGCAUUAAGGAUGGGGAUUGAACCUGAAUGGUCGAAGGUUUGCUUAGCCUGGAUUUGAUUUCCCAGCACUGGACAGAAAAGUUGCAUUAAGAUUAUUAUUUAUCUUCACAAGUAGGUUCCGGGACACUUUCACUCACCCCAGCUUGAACUUUACUUGGGAUAGGAGGAUCUGUCUCGCCACACCCAAUUCCUGACCCUGUUGCUGUUUUUUUCAUGACGAUACUGAUUACCCAGGGGCCUCUGAGAUUGGAGAGAGGAUUGGAUGCGGCUCGGAGACCUCCAUUCCUCAAGCCUCAGGAAGGUGCUAGGAAUCAGAAGUCUAGUGUUAUCUCCAGAGGUGUUGUCCUAGGCCAGUCUUCCCUGUGGAUGUUUCUCUCUCUAAAAUGGGCCCUGAAUACUCUACAAGUUGUUGGGUUCUGAGAUCUAAACUGCUGAGGGUGAAUUCUAGAUUGAGGCCACCCAGGCUUCACAUCCUCAGUCCGCUACUACCUGCAAGUCAUAUUUUAUUGUUGUUUGCAAGCUUGACACACACUAGAGUAAUCUGGGAAGAGGACCCUAUAAAGAUGGACCUCUAGGCAAGUCUGUAGGGCUUUGUUUGUUUGUUUGUUUGUUUGUUUGUUUGAGACAGGAUCUCUCUUUGUAGCCCU
This 4162-nucleotide small RNA is filed under the name Rattus norvegicus (Norway rat). RNAcentral's name for it is "uncharacterized LOC108351021". The record is from RNAcentral. Lineage: Eukaryota; Metazoa; Chordata; Mammalia; Rodentia; Muridae.